This 468-nucleotide ribosomal RNA is filed under the name uncultured bacterium. Its description in RNAcentral is "partial 16S ribosomal RNA". It matches the Rfam family "Bacterial small subunit ribosomal RNA", at positions 28 to 507 of the family's 1533-position model. The record is from RNAcentral.
GAUGAACGCUGGCGGCGUGCUUAACACAUGCAAGUCGAACGGAAAGGCCCUGCUUUUGUGGGGUGCUCGAGUGCCGAACGGGUGAGUAACACGUGAGUAACCUGCCCUUGUCUUUCGGAUAACUUCAGGAAACUGGGGUUAAUACCAGAUAGGAGCUCCUGCUCCAUGGUGGGGGUUGGAACGUUGCGGCGGUCGUGGAUGGACUCGCGGCUUUUCAGCUUGUUGGUUGGGGAGUGGCUUACCCAGGGUUUGGCGGGUCGGCGGCCUGAGAGGGUGGCCGGCCACCUGGCGCCUGCGAUACGGCCCAGACUCCAACGGUGGGCAACGGUGGCGAAUAUGGCACAAUGGGCGGAAGCCUGAUGCAGCAACGCCGCGUGUGUGAUGACGGCCUUCGGGUUGUAAACAGCUUUCGCCUGUGACGAAGCGUGAGUGACGGUAAUGGGUAAAGAAGCACCGGCUAACUACGUG